CAGUGGCGCACGGGUGCGUAACACGUAUGCAACCUACCUAUUAUUGGGGGAUAGCCUUUGGAAACGGAGAUUAAUACCGCAUAAGACAGUGACAUGGCAUCAUGUAGCUGUUAAAGCUUUGGCGAUAAUAGAUGGGCAUGCGUCCAAUUAGUUAGUUGGUGAGGUAAUGGCUCACCAAGACGAUGAUUGGUAGGGGAUCUGAGAGGAUAAUCCCCCACACUGGCACUGAGAUACGGGCCAGACUCCUACGGGAGGCAGCAGUGGGGAAUUUUCCGCAAUGGGCGAAAGCCUGACGGAGCAACGCCGCGUGAGGGAGGAAGGUCUUUGGAUUGUAAACCUCUUUUCUCAAGGAAGAAGUUCUGACGGUACUUGAGGAAUCAGCCUCGGCUAACUCCGUGCCAGCAGCCGCGGUAAUACGGGGGAGGCAAGCGUUAUCCGGAAUUAUUGGGCGUAAAGCGUCCGCAGGUGGUCAGCCAAGUCUGCCGUCAAAUCAGGUUGCUUAACGACCUAAAGGCGGUGGAAACUGGCAGACUANAGAGCAGUAGGGGUAGCAGGAAUUCCCAGUGUAGCGGUGAAAUGCGUANAGAUUGGGAAGA
This 596-nucleotide ribosomal RNA is filed under the name uncultured bacterium. Its description in RNAcentral is "bacterial SSU rRNA". It matches the Rfam family "Bacterial small subunit ribosomal RNA", at positions 93 to 705 of the family's 1533-position model. The record is from RNAcentral.